Gossypium raimondii (Peruvian cotton) is the source of this 1364-nucleotide long non-coding RNA. RefSeq lists it as uncharacterized. The transcript is spliced from 2 exons. The record is from RefSeq and is a predicted model, not a curated record. NCBI's taxonomy places the organism in Eukaryota, Viridiplantae, Streptophyta, Magnoliopsida, Malvales, Malvaceae.
GGCUAUUCGAUCUCUAUUCUCCGAAACUUAAUGUUGAAAUAAACAAAAGAUAAAAUUUGCUCCGUUCUGGCUCCUUGCUGUGCUCCUCUCAGUUUUACUUGCAACUGCUGGUGCUGGAAAAUUGCUAGUAAGAAGAAUCAGAACAUGUCAGAAUCAGCAUCAGUAUCUGGAUCAGCAUCAACAAUGCCUGGAAACGAGUCCAUAGAUGAGUCACUAUCCAAAUGCACCAUAGAUGAACUACCCUUCUUGGCAUUUGGCAAGGUUGAUGAAGUUUUUCCAGCAACAUGAUCAAAGCCAUCAACUUUAUCCACGCAAGAGAACAUAUCAUGAUUGGCAUCAUUUAAUCUAUCACUAGCAGAAAGAGGCAUCUUAGAUUCUAUUUCACUACCUUCAGGAUUUGUUCCAACUGCAGGACUCAUGACGGCUUUUGCAGAAGCUACUCCCUGAGACUUUGGAACUGAUUCUUCUAAGUGCCAGGGCUGCACCACAAUUUCAUUUUCCGUUCUCAUAUGCACAUCUGCAUUAGCUGCUGCUGGCUCUUGUUCCCUUACCUCUAAAACAUUUGUAAAUGAUGGAUCAUUUGGUCUUGAUGUUUGAUCCUUCAUAUCCUCAACAGGAAUGUUUUCAUUUUCAUUUUGAUUUUCGUUUUCGUUUUCGUUUUGUAGCCACCUGUCAUAUAAAUCAUCAUCAUGUGACUCAACACCACCUUGUUCUGUUCUACGCAUGGCACUGAGAAACGAUGUAUUUUGCUUCUGACUGCCAGAGUAAAUAUUUUCUAGGAAUCUAUUGCUAGCUCCAUCAGUAGAAUUAUGACAAGCAGAGUAGAAAUCAUCUAGUGGAAGGGCUCUAGGAUGUAUGAGCACCUCCAGUGCAAACAAAGCAUAGGCACAAAAUUGGGCGAGCUUCAUUCCAGCUUCUUGUUUACCUGGAAUAGACAUAUAAUUACAGUUAAACAAAAUGAAGAAUGGCACAGAAGUUAACAAGAAUCUAUAUAUGCAACAAGGAUCUAUAUAUGCAACAGACUAUGGAAAUGCCUGCACAAUGUUUUUAACUUAUUAAUUAUUUGACUUUACAGGCUAAGCUGGUUUUUUGCCCUGGCAUCAAUUUGGAGUGGAGCACAAUAAGCACUACAAACGACGAGUUCCAAGAGGUCAUUUGAGCUGAAAAUGAAUUUAGUUUAUGGUUGAACCCAAAAAGGCAUUGUUAUAUUUAGGUUAAUUUCUGCUAUUAGACCCUAUACUUUGCGUAAGUUGUGGAUUUAGUACUUGUACUUUAAUUAGGUCAUUUUCAAUCUCUAUACUUUUAGAAUUUGAAAAUUUUAGUCCUAACUAAAUAAUAACUAUUAAAUUCAUUAAGUUCUGUUA